GAGGACAGAGCUCAGUGGCAGAGCGCGUGCUUAGCGUGCAUGAGGUCCUGGGUUCAGUCCCCAGCAUCUCCA
Molecule: transfer RNA, 72 nt
Filed under: Camelus bactrianus (Bactrian camel)
Lineage: Eukaryota; Metazoa; Chordata; Mammalia; Artiodactyla; Camelidae
Also listed under: 2 other names
Rfam family: tRNA
About the family: Transfer RNA (tRNA) molecules are approximately 80 nucleotides in length. Their secondary structure includes four short double-helical elements and three loops (D, anti-codon, and T loops).
Source: Rfam by way of RNAcentral